GCUCAGAACGAACGCUGGCGGCAGGCUUAACACAUGCAAGUCGAGCGCCCCGCAAGGGGAGCGGCAGACGGGUGAGUAACGCGUGGGAAUCUACCCUUGACUACGGAAUAACGCAGGGAAACUUGUGCUAAUACCGUAUGUGUCCUUCGGGAGAAAGAUUUAUCGGUCAAGGAUGAGCCCGCGUUGGAUUAGCUAGUUGGUGGGGUAAAGGCCUACCAAGGCGACGAUCCAUAGCUGGUCUGAGAGGAUGAUCAGCCACAUUGGGACUGAGACACGGCCCAAACUCCUACGGGAGGCAGCWGUGGGGAAUAUUGGACWAUGGGCGCWAGCYUGAUCCAGCCWUGCCGCGUGAGUGAUGAAGGCCCUAGGGUUGUAAAGCUCUUUCACCGGAGAAGAUAAU
Molecule: ribosomal RNA, 400 nt
Filed under: Rhizobium leguminosarum
Lineage: Bacteria; Pseudomonadati; Pseudomonadota; Alphaproteobacteria; Hyphomicrobiales; Rhizobiaceae
Description: bacterial SSU rRNA
Rfam family: Bacterial small subunit ribosomal RNA
Source: RNAcentral